GCAGAUAUAAGUUAAGUUAAACUCUUGGUCUUCAAAACCAAAAAUUUUUAUUCUGUG
RNAcentral lists this transfer RNA (57 nucleotides) under Toxascaris leonina. RNAcentral describes it as "tRNA-Trp". Lineage: Eukaryota; Metazoa; Nematoda; Chromadorea; Rhabditida; Ascarididae. The record is from RNAcentral.